UACGUAGGCAGCAAGCGUUGUUCGGAAUUACUGGGCGUAAAGAGUACGUAGGUGGUUUGCCAAGUCCGAUGUGAAAUCUCCUGGCUUAACUGGGAGGGUGCGUUAGAUACUGGCAGGCUUGAGUGUGGGAGAGGAGAGCGGAAUUCCUGGUGUAGCGGUGAAAUGCGUAGAUAUCAGGAGGAACACCAGUGGCGAAGGCGGCUACCUGGACCAGCACUGACACUGAGGCACGAAAGCGUGGGGAGCAAACAGG
Molecule: ribosomal RNA, 253 nt
Filed under: uncultured bacterium
Lineage: Bacteria
Description: partial 16S ribosomal RNA
Rfam family: Bacterial small subunit ribosomal RNA
Source: RNAcentral